RNAcentral lists this ribosomal RNA (253 nucleotides) under uncultured bacterium. RNAcentral's name for it is "partial 16S ribosomal RNA". It matches the Rfam family "Bacterial small subunit ribosomal RNA", at positions 524 to 776 of the family's 1533-position model. The record is from RNAcentral.
UACGUAGGGGGCGAGCGUUAUCCGGAUUUACUGGGCGUAAAGCGCGUUAAGGCGGUUGGCAAAGUUGGUUGUGAAAUCUCAGGGCUCAACCCUGAAAUUGCGACCAAUACUGGUCGACUAGAGUGCAAGAGAGGAAGGUGGAAUUCCUGGUGUAGCGGUGGAAUGCGCAGAUAUCAGGAGGAACACCCGUGGCGAAGGCGGCUCUCUGGGACGGUACUGACGCUGAGACGCGAAAGCGUGGGGAGCGAACAGG